CCCAUCCUCCCUUGGGAUCGGAUACGUACCAUGCACGAUAGUACACGUGAGAGGUGGCCUCCAAAGGGUUUUCGCGGUAGGGUGGGAUCAAUCAUGCUACCUCUUUUGGCACAGGUGGUUGAGUACAUCUUGUCCUCCCUUAGAUAGUAUAAGAGAUCGCGGACUGACAAAUUUCCCACGUCUUCGUCAUAAUCUUGGAUCUUCAUCACUCUGCAGCGUCUGCCGCCAAGCCCCUGAGAACACAUUGCAUGUUCUUAGGGAUUGCUAUUAUGCAAAAGAGUUUGGGAGAGGAGAUUUCUUGGGAUAACUUUGAGCGAUACCUUGAUGCGUCUCGAAUUAUUCUUAGAUCGUUCCAAACCAGUUGGGAUGGAUUAAACUACUUCGGCUCCAUCUCAGGAAUGGAAACUUGUCUUUUGGUCCAGACCAGAAUUGGAUGGGUCGAACGAAAACACUUGAUGGAGCCUGCAAUCCUAGGCCGGCUGGCGCGGGAGGUAUUAUCAGAGACGAUCGAGCGAAUUUGAUUAGCGAUUUUGUGCACAACAUUGUGUUUGCUCUUUGAUUGUGGCUAAGCUAUAUAUGGGGUGUAUUUUCGGAUUUGGAAUUGGCUUGGUCUCUCGGCUUUAGGAAUGUGGUGCUCAACUCGAGAUCGAUUCACGGGUUGUGCGUGAUGUGGUUAUGGAGAGAGGUUGUUUUGCUGCUACACUCUGCGGCCUUGUUUCUAACAUACAAGCUUGUCUUGAUCGGGACUGGAUACUAGGGAGGUGAAGCAUGUGUUUUGGGAAGGCAACUCUUGUGCGGACUAGCUUGCUUGGAAAUCUCUUGGCUAUCCUUUGGGUGUGUUGGGAAGGGAUGUAUUCAACCAAAUAAUAACGCAGCGAUUAAUCUUCCUCCCCUA
This is a non-coding RNA of Punica granatum (pomegranate), 895 nucleotides long. Lineage: Eukaryota; Viridiplantae; Streptophyta; Magnoliopsida; Myrtales; Lythraceae. The record is from RefSeq and is a predicted model, not a curated record.